GUGGAUAUAGCUCAGGUGGUUAGAGUAUCAGGUUGUGGCCCUGAGGGUCGCCGGUUCAAGUCCGGUUAUCCACCCCA
RNAcentral lists this transfer RNA (77 nucleotides) under Clostridiales bacterium GWF2_36_10. Its description in RNAcentral is "tRNA-His". It matches the Rfam family "tRNA". Rfam says of the family: Transfer RNA (tRNA) molecules are approximately 80 nucleotides in length. Their secondary structure includes four short double-helical elements and three loops (D, anti-codon, and T loops). The record is from RNAcentral. RNAcentral also lists the same sequence under 1 other name. Lineage: Bacteria; Bacillati; Bacillota; Clostridia; Eubacteriales.